CCUACGGGAGGCAGCAGUGGGGAAUUUUCCGCAAUGGGCGAAAGCCUGACGGAGCAAUACCGCGUGAGGGAGGAAGGCUCUUGGGUUGUAAACCUCUUUUUUCAGGGAAGAUAAUGACGGUACCUGAGGAAUAAGCAUCGGCUAACUCCGUGCCAGCAGCCGCGGUAAUACGGAGGAUGCAAGCGUUAUCCGGAAUGAUUGGGCGUAAAGCGUCCGCAGGUGGUUUUAAAAGUCUGUUGUUAAAGCGUGAGGCUUAACCUCAUAAGGGCAAUGGAAACUGUAAGACUAGAGUACGUUCGGGGCAAGGGGAAUUCCCAGUGUAGCGGUGAAAUGCGUAGAGAUUGGGAAGAACACCGGUGGCGAAAGCGCCUUGCUAGGCCGUAACUGACACUGAGGGACGAAAGCUAGGGGAGCGAAUGGGAUUAGAUACCCCAGUAGUCCUAGCCGUAAACGAUGGAUACUAGGCGUUGUCUGUAUCGACCCGGACAGUGCCGUAGCUAACGCGUUAAGUAUCCCGCCUGGGGAGUACGCACGCAGUAGUGAACUACAAUAGAAGUUAGUACGGACGUGAGACGUCGCCGAACGGACGACCGACGAGGGGAAGUUAGG
Molecule: ribosomal RNA, 609 nt
Filed under: uncultured bacterium
Lineage: Bacteria
Description: bacterial SSU rRNA
Rfam family: Bacterial small subunit ribosomal RNA
Source: RNAcentral